GAAAUGCGAUAAGUAAUGUGAAUUGCAGAAUUCCGUGAAUCAUCGAAUCUUUGAACGCACAUUGCGCCCCCUGGCAUUCCGGGGGGCAUGCCUGUCCGAGCGUCAUUUCUGCCCUCAAGCACGGCUUGUGUGUUGGGUGUGGUCCCCUCCCUGGCGGGGGGACCUGCCCGAAAGGCAGCGGCGACGUCGCGUCCGGUCCUCGAGCGUAUGGGGCUUUGUCACUCGCUCGGGAAGGAUUGGCGCAACGUCUGUCACCCACUGUAUUAUUUUACCACGGUUGACCUCGGAUCAGGUAGGAGUUACCCGCUGAACUUAA
RNAcentral lists this unclassified non-coding RNA (316 nucleotides) under uncultured Trichocomaceae. Its description in RNAcentral is "sequence contains ITS1". The stretch from base 1 to 105 matches the Rfam family "5.8S ribosomal RNA", at positions 50 to 154 of the family's 154-position model. The record is from RNAcentral. Lineage: Eukaryota; Fungi; Ascomycota; Eurotiomycetes; Eurotiales; Trichocomaceae.